UACGUAGGGUGCAAGCGUUGUCCGGAAUUAUUGGGCGUAAAGAGCUCGUAGGCGGUUCGUCGCGUCGGCUGUGAAAACCCGGAGCUCAACUCCGGGCCUGCAGUCGAUACGGGCGGACUGGAGGUAUGCAGGGGAGAACGGAAUUCCUGGUGUAGCGGUGAAAUGCGCAGAUAUCAGGAGGAACACCGGUGGCGAAGGCGGUUCUCUGGGCAUGUCCUGACGCUGAGGAGCGAAAGUGUGGGGAGCGAACAGG
Molecule: ribosomal RNA, 253 nt
Filed under: uncultured bacterium
Lineage: Bacteria
Description: partial 16S ribosomal RNA
Rfam family: Bacterial small subunit ribosomal RNA
Source: RNAcentral